RNAcentral lists this non-coding RNA (30 nucleotides) under Rattus norvegicus (Norway rat). The record is from RNAcentral. Lineage: Eukaryota; Metazoa; Chordata; Mammalia; Rodentia; Muridae.
UAGAUUAUUCCAGUAAUGAGAAACCUUUGC